This is a long non-coding RNA of Mya arenaria, 365 nucleotides long. RefSeq lists it as uncharacterized. Lineage: Eukaryota; Metazoa; Mollusca; Bivalvia; Myida; Myidae. The record is from RefSeq and is a predicted model, not a curated record. The transcript is spliced from 3 exons.
UAAAAAUUAUCAUUCAAUUUGUACAAUGAAGUUGAAGAUGUAUAAAGAAAUGUUAUACACAUUUGUUCCAGACAACUCCCCCCCCCCCAUAAGGAUGACAAUGUACUUGGACAAGAUUCUAAGACCUUUUUGAAAGAAAUAUGAAUAGGGGACUUCUAUAGCAGAAGAAGUAUAGCCAAACUUGCAGAAAACAACAACCGAAUGACUGCAUCACUAAAGAAAAGAAACAGGAUUUCUCCAAAUGUAGAAAUGCAGACAGCUCUUCACCAUCAACUGUGAUCCUUUGUAAUUUUGUGUACAUAUGAAACUAAAUGACUGCAAAGAAAUGUUUUUUGUUGUUCUUAGGUUGUUGUAUGCAUACUUCA